AUGACUUAGAACAUAUACUAAAAAAUUGGAAUGAUACAGAGAUUCGCAUAGUCCCUGUGCAAAGAUGACACACAAAAAUGAAGUGUGUGCAUGGGGGUA
RNAcentral lists this small nuclear RNA (99 nucleotides) under Vulpes vulpes (red fox). The record is from RNAcentral. Lineage: Eukaryota; Metazoa; Chordata; Mammalia; Carnivora; Canidae.